This is a non-coding RNA of Sus scrofa (pig), 453 nucleotides long. The record is from RefSeq and is a predicted model, not a curated record. Lineage: Eukaryota; Metazoa; Chordata; Mammalia; Artiodactyla; Suidae.
CUGUUCCAAGGCCAAUUGUACCCGUGGGAAGCUGAGAGCACUUGUAAAUGACAUGUGUCCCAGUUGAUUAGUGAGAGCAGAGAGUCCAGGGCUCUUCUUCAUUUGCGUAUCUCCUCUCUAGAACUGAGACUACUCCUUGGGCUCCUUGAAGUCAUGAAGACUUUUUUGCUAACUUUGGCUGCACUAUUGCUCUUGUCCCAGGUUGUUCCAGGCAGCCCCGAAAAAUGCUGGAAUCUGCAUGGCUCCUGCCGUGACAAAUGUUCCAAGAAUGAAAAAGUCUAUGUUUUCUGCGUGAGUGGUAAACUGUGCUGUGUGAAGCCCAAGUUCCAGCCAAAUUUAUUUCCAAAAGUCAAUUAGUGCUUUAAGCAUGAAGACACAAAAGCGGAAGAUAACCCUGCCCUAAGUCUGACCUCAGCAGAUUCCUGAGUUUUAUUAUUAAAACAUUUUGGCUGA